Molecule: ribosomal RNA, 654 nt
Filed under: Sarcocystis hjorti
Lineage: Eukaryota; Apicomplexa; Conoidasida; Eucoccidiorida; Sarcocystidae
Description: SSU rRNA
Rfam family: Eukaryotic small subunit ribosomal RNA
Source: RNAcentral
CUCAGGGAGGUAGUGACAAGAAAUAACAACACUGGAAAUUUUAUUUCUAGUGAUUGGAAUGAUGGGAAUUUAAACCCCUUUCAGAGUAACAAUUGGAGGGCAAGUCUGGUGCCAGCAGCCGCGGUAAUUCCAGCUCCAAUAGCGUAUAUUAAAGUUGUUGCAGUUAAAAAGCUCGUAGUUGGAUGUCUGCUGGAAGCAAUCAGUCCGCCCUAUUUGUAGGGUGUGCACUUGAUGAAUUCUGGCAUCUAUGUCCUAAUGUGAUAGAUACGGCGGUGUAUAUGGGUUAAUCCCAUAUACCCGUUUUUGUAUAUUAUAUUGGGAUAAUACCGUUACUUUGAGAAAAUUAGAGUGUUUGAAGCAGGCUAAUUGCCUUGAAUACUGCAGCAUGGAAUAACAAUAUAGGAUUUCGGUUCUAUUUUGUUGGUUUCUAGGACUGAAAUAAUGAUUAAUAGGGACAGUUGGGGGCAUUCGUAUCUAACUGUCAGAGGUGAAAUUCUUAGAUUUGUUAAAGACGAACUACUGCGAAAGCAUUUGCCAAAGAUGUUUUCAUUAAUCAAGAACGAAAGUUAGGGGCUCGAAGACGAUCAGAUACCGUCGUAGUCUUAACCAUAAACUAUGCCGACUAGAGAUAGGAAAAUGUCAUUUUUCUGACUU